AUACGUAGGGGGCGAGCGUUGUCCGGAAUGAUUGGGCGUAAAGGGCGCGUAGGCGGCCCGGUAAGUCUGGAGUGAAAGUCCUGUUUUUAAGAUGGGAAUUGCUUUGGAUACUGUCGGGCUUGAGUGCAGGAGAGGUAAGUGGAAUUCCCAGUGUAGCGGUGAAAUGCGUAGAUAUUGGGAAGAACACCGGUGGCGAAGGCGCCUUGCUGGACUGUGUCUGACGCUCAGAUGCGAAAGCCAGGGUAGCGAACGGGAUUAGAUACCCCGGUAGUCCUGGCCGUAAACGAUGGGUACUAGGUGUGGGAGGUAUCGACUCCUUCCGUGCCGGAGUUAACGCAAUAAGUACCCCGCCUGGGGAGUACGGCCGCAAGGCUUAAACUCAAAUGAAUUGACGGGG
RNAcentral lists this ribosomal RNA (397 nucleotides) under uncultured bacterium. RNAcentral describes it as "partial 16S ribosomal RNA". It matches the Rfam family "Bacterial small subunit ribosomal RNA", at positions 523 to 918 of the family's 1533-position model. The record is from RNAcentral.